GCGAAGGUGGCGGAACUGGCAGACGCGCUAGACUUAGGAUCUAGUGGGAAUCCCCGUGCGGGUUCAACUCCCGCCUUUCGCACCA
Molecule: transfer RNA, 85 nt
Filed under: Halanaerobiaceae bacterium
Lineage: Bacteria; Bacillati; Bacillota; Clostridia; Halanaerobiales; Halanaerobiaceae
Description: tRNA-Leu
Rfam family: tRNA
About the family: Transfer RNA (tRNA) molecules are approximately 80 nucleotides in length. Their secondary structure includes four short double-helical elements and three loops (D, anti-codon, and T loops).
Source: RNAcentral